UGAAUACGAGACGCUACGGCGUCGAAGCAGUCUAUGUCAUACUUCCAAGAAAAGCUUGCACUGUCAUAAACAAAUAAUGCCUGUACCAUAACCGACACAGGUGGGUAGGUAGAGUAUACUAAGGGGCGCGAGAUAACUCUCUCUAAGGAACUCGGCAAAAUGACUCCGUAACUUCGGGAGAAGGAGUGCCUUAUUUAUAAGGUUGCAAUAACAAGAUCCAAGCAACUGUUUAUCAAAAACACAGGUCUCCGCUAAGUCGUAAGACGAUGUAUGGGGGCUGACGCCUGCCCAGUGCCAGAAGGUUAAAGAAGUUGGUUAGCAUUAGCGAAGCUGAUAACUGAAGCCCUGGUGAACGGCGGCCGUAACUAUAACGGUCCUAAGGUAGCGAAAUUCCUUGUCGGGUAAGUUCCGACCCGCACGAAAGGCGUAAUGAUUUGGAUACUGUCUCAGAGAGGGGCUCGGUGAAAUAGACUUGUCUGUGAAGAUGCGGACUACCUGCACCAGGACAGAAAGACCCUAUGAAGCUUUACUGUAACUUGAAAUUGAAAUUGGACUUUAUUUGCGCAGUAUAGGUGGGAGGCAUUGAUAAUAUUCUUGCGGGAAUGUUGGAGCCAUCAGUGAGAUACCACUCUUGUAAUGUUAGAUUUCUAACUUUGGAUCAUUAUCUGGUCAAAGGACAGUUUCAGGCGGGCAGUUUGACUGGGGCGGUCGCCUCCUAAAUGGUAACGGAGGCGCACAAAGGUUUCCUCUGAACGGGUAGAAAUCGUAUCUAGAGUGUAAAGGCAUAAGGAAGCUUGACUGUGAGACCUACAAGUCGAGCAGGGACGAAAGUCGGUCUUAGUGAUCUGACGGUGCUGAGUGGAAAGGCCGUCACUCAACGGAUAAAAGUUACUCUAAGGAUAACAGGCUGAUCUCCCCCAAGAGUUCACAUCGACGGGGAGGUUUGGCACCUCGAUGUCGGCUCAUCGCAUCCUGGGGCGGUAGUACGUCCCAAGGGUUGGGCUGUUCGCCCAUGAAAGCGGUACGCGAGCUGGGUUCAGAACGUCGUGAGACAGUUCGGUCCAUAUCCGGCGUAGGCGUUAGAAUAUUGAGAGGAGCCUUCUUUAGUACGAGAGGACCGAGAAGGACAUACCUCUGGUGUACCAGUUAUCGUGCCAACGGUAAACGCUGGGUAGCUAUGUAUGGAGAGGAUAACCGCUGAAAGCAUCUAAGUGGGAAGCCCACCUCAAGAUAAGUAUUCU
This 1241-nucleotide ribosomal RNA is filed under the name metagenome. RNAcentral describes it as "bacterial LSU rRNA". It matches the Rfam family "Bacterial large subunit ribosomal RNA", at positions 1564 to 2814 of the family's 2925-position model. The record is from RNAcentral.